GCCAGCCCUUCAUUACAUUGGUCCAUUUGCUCAGCGGGCCCUCCAUGAUAGACGCCAUCUUAGCACCGGACCGGCACCGCCGCGCACGCCGCGCGUUCGUUUAGAUCCUCAUGGUUUCCAGCCAGAAGGAAGACACUGCUGGUCAGAGUAACUACCAGUGAAGGACCAGGGUAGAAAAUGGAAGCAAGAGAACACUGGAAGUCUGAUUCUUUAUGAAAAAAUGCUUUUCUGUUGUAAUUUUGCUGAAGUUAUGGCUGAGCUCAGAAGAACCUCAGUGAUGAAGUUGUGGCUUGUGGGUUUCCUUCAGGGUGUCUGGGAGUGUGGCUGGCAGCAGUGAAAGUGCCUUUUGGUUCUCCCAACAGCUGCAAUUGCUUGGGGUUCUGAGGAACAUAAGGAAGACAUUUGAGAAGAGAACAAAUAACAAAUAACAAAUAAUUUUGUUUCAGUUUCUUGUCCAACUUCAGAAAUGUUCUGGUAGUUUAAUUUUGUAUUUCUUUUUCUGUAAGUUCACUGUGUCAACUACUGAUAAUGUAAUCAUCAUAAUUAAUAAUUUAUGUUUUAGUGGGGUGAUAGUGGAUGAUUAUUUUUUCGCUUGUUGGUAGCAAAUAAUGUCUUUUAUUUGUACCUUCAGGGAAAUAUUCCCUCCAUUUUAUUUUUUACGGGUAAUAAAUGCAGUAAUAAACUACA
Lonchura striata (white-rumped munia) is the source of this 687-nucleotide non-coding RNA. The record is from RefSeq and is a predicted model, not a curated record. Lineage: Eukaryota; Metazoa; Chordata; Aves; Passeriformes; Estrildidae.